This is a long non-coding RNA of Raphanus sativus (radish), 1734 nucleotides long. RefSeq lists it as uncharacterized. The transcript is spliced from 4 exons. The record is from RefSeq and is a predicted model, not a curated record. NCBI's taxonomy places the organism in Eukaryota, Viridiplantae, Streptophyta, Magnoliopsida, Brassicales, Brassicaceae.
GGGAGGGUAUUGAUGAGAAACAUCCCACAUCGGAAAUAUAAGAAUUAUUCUACUAUUAUAUAAAGGGUUAGGGCCAAUCCACUAAUUGCCAAUUGGUUUUAAGUUGGAAGCCCAUAAUUAACCCGAAUCUAACAUGGUAUCAGAGCAAUAAGAUCCUCUGACCUAAUUUACUACAACUACUACUACACCGGUGUUGGACCCUCUGUGGAUGUUAUUCCCACAAUUGUCCACGCUUCAGACCUAGAUGUCUGAGCGUGAGGGAGGGUAUUGAUGAGAAACAUCCCACAUCGGAAAUAUAAGAAUUAUUCUACUACUAUAUAAAGGGUUAGGGCCAAUCCACUAAUCGCCAAUUGGUUUUAAGUUGGAAUCCCAUAAUUAACCCGAAUCUAACAACUAGCUUAAGAUCAAUGACGAUGUAUGAAGAGCUUCCUGCCUUCUCCCUGCUUUUAGCAUUCCAUUUAGCGUCGUCUCCGUUCGUGCUACAGAGCGAUUGAAACGCACCGCUCGUGAGGCGCGUUGCAGCUUUUCAAACUUUAAACUGCAAAGUUGUCUCCUUUACAGAGGAGGUUUAGUCUUGAAGCAGAGACUCUAUCAUCAGGAAGGUCCAUACUUCUGACCAGGUUGAAGCUAUUAUAUGCAUUGUGGCCUACCUCUGUAGCUCUUCAGAGGAAGGAUCGUGAAAACAAUUAUCCGUACUUUUCCUCAAGCAAGGGAGUAGUACUCUGGAGAUAUCAUAGUAUCUUCUGUUCAUGAGCCUGAUCUGGAGUCUAAAGUCCUCGUUACAACCCUUUUUUUUUAAUCCUAAGGUGGAGUGUUUAGCUGGAACUCAACAGAAAUCUAAAGACAACUUUUCCUUGCUGCUAUGUGUUAUUAGUCAAGAUGCCUCGUUGCUUGUUAUGAAUAGGAUGCCGAAACUGUGCUGACUGUUUUUAAAGUGAAUGGAACAUUGUUCUUUUUGUUGAUUAUGUUGCUAUCCAGAGGGAGCCAAUUGCUAACUGGAGUAUGGAUUCUAUUUCUUCUUCGCUUAGGAAGCUGAAAGAGAUUCAUCAAAAAGAUGGAAUCGUAUUCUAGAGAUGCAAUACAGAGGACUGUUCAAGGGAAGAUGCCAAGGAAGGCUUCCUGAAGGAAAGGGUCGUUUGGUACUUGGAGAUGGAAGCAUAUAUGAUGGAGUGUGGCACAACGGUAAAAUAUCUGGUCUUGGAACAUUCUACUUCAAAAGAAUGGAGACGUGUUUCAAGGCACAUGGAGAGAAGAUUUAAUACACGGAAGGGGGUGGUUUUAUUUCUACAAAAGUGACCGGUGAGAUAUUCUUUGGACAUUUCAAAGAUGGAUGGCGACACGGAGAGUUCCUCUGUGUAGAUGUUGAUGGAACAAGAUACUCUGAAACUUGGGACAAUGGUGUUCUUAUUGACCGGAAACAAGUGGACUCCGGAGAUUGAUGCUGUACGGCACCUUGAAUGAUGUUUAGGCACAACAUAGAAGUCCUUAUUUUUUAUUUUGAGCGUGUCAUCAGAUGAAUCAUCAGCCAUCUCUCAACACAUGAUUGGGUUUAGCCAGAAAAUAAGUACUAUUGUUGUUGAUGGCUUUUGUACAAAGUGCUCUCAAAAAGAGUUGAACAUGUAUAUCAACCAACAAGAUACAUUUACACAAGUCCUGUUUGUUUUUCCUGAUAAAUCGCUAAAAUUUUCAGCGAUAUGAAACGACGAUUUACGAUUAGUUGUUGCAAAUUUGCAA